AGCGAACAUUUGCGGCGGGCCUAACACAUGCAAGUCGAACGCACUAGCAAUAGUGAGUGGCGCACGGGUGCGUAACACGUGGGUAAUCAACCCUUCAGCCUGGGAUAACGACUCGAAAGGGUCGCUAAUACCGGAUACGGCGCGAGAGGCUUCGGCUUCUCACGAGAAAGCCACGCAAGGGGCACUGAAGGACGAGCCUGCGGCCCAUCAGCUAGUUGGUGAGGUAAGAGCUCACCAAGGCUAAGACGGGUAGCUGGUCUGAGAGGAUGAUCAGCCACACUGGAACUGAGACACGGUCCAGACUCCUACGGGAGGCAGCAGUGGGGAAUAUUGCGCAAUGGGCGAAAGCCUGACGCAGCCACGCCGCGUGAGCGAUGAAGGCCUUCGGUCGUAAGACUCUGUGGGAGAGACGAAGAAAGACCUGUGAGAGCAGGCCUUGACGGUA
This 445-nucleotide ribosomal RNA is filed under the name uncultured bacterium. Its description in RNAcentral is "bacterial SSU rRNA". It matches the Rfam family "Bacterial small subunit ribosomal RNA", at positions 29 to 477 of the family's 1533-position model. The record is from RNAcentral.